CCCUCAAAAGAGCAAAAGUAGAAUUAGACUUUCACCAUUGUUAUCACCAUCAUCACCAUACACCAUUCAUUCGCCACACAUGCACAUCUUGAUUUGACUUAUUGACUUGUUUCUCUGAAUCCAUGGUUUGACUAUGCAAUAAAUGUCUUGUAAGUAUGUAUACUUUAUCUCCCACCUAUGAGCUCCAGAUAUCAAAGCCUUAUUAGAGUAGGAUGAGAGAGAAGGCAAUGUCACUAUGCCUUAUACUACAAAUACCACAUACUUUGAGAGAAGGCAUAUACCAUCAUUGCCGCCUUGGU
This 299-nucleotide long non-coding RNA is filed under the name Sorghum bicolor (sorghum). RNAcentral's name for it is "long non-coding RNA (SBIC_LNC006449)". Lineage: Eukaryota; Viridiplantae; Streptophyta; Magnoliopsida; Poales; Poaceae. The record is from RNAcentral.